Molecule: long non-coding RNA, 900 nt
Organism: Capsicum annuum
Lineage: Eukaryota; Viridiplantae; Streptophyta; Magnoliopsida; Solanales; Solanaceae
Exons: 3
Source: RefSeq, a predicted model, not a curated record
AUAAUAAUAACACUUCCACUGGAAGUUUCUAUCCAACUGUUUUAAAAAACAUAUGUUGUAUCCUUAUGACUGUUAUCCUUUUCUCUGUACUACCGCCUCCAUUCACAUGAAACCUUUUUUAUUAUUAUUAUUAAUAAUUUAUUAACAAACGAAUUUCUAUUACAAGUGAAUCUCAAAGACAAACAAACGGAUACUAACUUCACCAGAAAACAAAGGAAACAGAAACUACUAGAUCUGUGAUUCAAUGGUUGCACAUCUGCCUUCAUAGGAGAAAGUUACAUAAAUUCGUGAUUUAUUCACGUUGGGUUCUAUCCCUUGAUCCAUUCAGUUUCUUUUUCUAAUUUAAUCGGUUUUGUGUUUCUGGAUACUUAAGAAUUUUUGUGUUUUUCUUAUCUGUGUAUUGCUUUGAAGAAGAAGAAGUAUUUAUGUAUUGGAGCAUUGGGCGGCUAAACAGUUAUCAAGGAAAAGGAUUGCUGAUAACAUCAAAUUGGCGCAUGAGCUUGUCAACAUUACUUUUAAAAACAAAUUUCUCCAAGAUGCAUGCUCAAGGUGGAUAUUCAAAAAACAUAUGAUUCCAUAGAGUAAGUGUAUAUUGAACAGGUAAUGAUAGGUUGGGGUUUCCAACUUAAUUUAUUACAUGGCUAAUAAACUGUGUGAAGACGCUAAGUUGUUCUAUUAUUAUCAAUGUAGAAGCAACUGAACCUUUUCAAGAUGCAAAAGGUUUAAGACAUGGAGAUCCCAUUCCUCUAUAUUUGCUUGCUACAACUAUUGAAUACCUAAGUAGGCAUUUGAGUACUUUAGUUGAUGUAAAGAAAUACAAAUACCAUCCAAUGUAUAAAAAAUUUAAACUCACUCAUUUGGCUUUUGCUGAUGAUUUAAUUCUAUUUUCAAGGGGUGAUC